This 118-nucleotide ribosomal RNA is filed under the name Pteropus alecto (black flying fox). Lineage: Eukaryota; Metazoa; Chordata; Mammalia; Chiroptera; Pteropodidae. The record is from RNAcentral.
GUGUAUGGCCAUGCCACCCUGAACAUGCCCGCUCUCGUCUGAUCUCAGAAGCUAAGCAGGAUAGGGCCUGGUUAGUACUUGGAUGGGAGACCACCUAGGAAGACCAGGGCUGUAGGUG